Molecule: small RNA, 78 nt
Filed under: Pantoea ananatis
Lineage: Bacteria; Pseudomonadati; Pseudomonadota; Gammaproteobacteria; Enterobacterales; Erwiniaceae
Also listed under: 2 other names
Description: isrK Hfq binding RNA
Rfam family: isrK Hfq binding RNA
Source: RNAcentral
GCUGUCGCAAAAUCGGCAGCCGGGAUUGGCGUCCUGAAUACAACGUUGGCGACACCAGACGCGCCUUGCGUCUUUUUU